Molecule: ribosomal RNA, 459 nt
Filed under: uncultured bacterium
Lineage: Bacteria
Description: partial 16S ribosomal RNA
Rfam family: Bacterial small subunit ribosomal RNA
Source: RNAcentral
CCUACGGGAGGCAGCAGUGAGGAAUAUUGGUCAAUGGGCGCGAGCCUGAACCAGCCAAGUCGCGUGAGGGAAGAAGGUCCUAUGGAUUGUAAACGUCUUUUGACGGGGAGCAAAAGACGGCACGCGUGGAGUUCCGAGAGUAGCAGAAGAAAAAGGAUCGGCUAAAUCCGUGCAAGCCGCCGCGGUAAUACGGAUGAUGCGAGCGUUAUCCGGAGUUAGUGGGUGUAAAGGGUGCGCAGGCGGAAGAUCAAGGCAGCGGUAAAAUUGAGAGGCUCAACCUCUUCGAGCCGUUGAAACUGGUUUUCUUGAGUGAGUGAGAAGUAUGCGGAAUGCGUGGUGUAGCGGUGAAAUGCAUAGAUAUCACGCAGAACUCCGAUUGCGAAGGCAGCAUACCGGCGCUCAACUGACGCUCAUGCACGAAAGUGUGGGUAUCGAACAGGAUUAGAUACCCUUGUAGUC